Molecule: long non-coding RNA, 665 nt
Filed under: Homo sapiens (human)
Lineage: Eukaryota; Metazoa; Chordata; Mammalia; Primates; Hominidae
Description: non-protein coding lnc-METTL16-7:1
Source: RNAcentral
CUAGCGGGCGGGCGGCUGAGCGGUGCCACCCGGCCGGCGGGCGAGUCUGCGUGCGAGGUGCUGCUUCUCACGCUCCGCACGCUUCUGUUAACCUUGGGAGAGGCUCUUUUUUCCCAGCCCCUCGUCUGACUUGCGGCCCCUUCUGAACUCUGGCUCUGCUCACCUCGCUGCCCUGCUUUUGCGCUCAUGCGGCCGACCGCGGCGUCCCGUUGGCACCGUGUGUGGCGGGCCCCGGGAGGCGCGAGAGGCAGCGGGGCCCGGCCACCUACCGCCCCUUUCUGCCUCCGGCCUCCGAGAUGAUUUCCCAGUUUGGGGGGGAAUGAGGGAGGGGAGUAGGCUGGCUGGCUUGGGAGGAGGAGCUGUUGAGGUUAAAAGGCAGAUGGAAUGCUGUCAUUGUCUUGAUUUGUAUUAUAGAUUCUUAAUUGGGAGGACUCGCUUUUGGAUAUGAUUCAGCUAUUCUUCUCCUUAGUCACACACAGACAUCAGAGUCUCUCCAGGUCUCGAAACGGAUGCCCAAAGAAAGGCCUGGAACUGUAUCCCUAUAAGGGAUGUCUGUGUGUGUUUGCUAAAUUAUGGAUUGAAAUAUUGAUGACAAGAGUCGUCUUGGGGAUUUGUAGUUAAUUUAUUCCACACAGAUACCUAUGAUUUUUCUUUUCUUUUCCUUU